AUACUUAGCUGGCAGGGAGACCCUAUGAUCAUGAAGAAGGUCUUCCCUAGGGAGGCUCAUCCAUUGCAAUCCAGAUGUGAUGACCCCCAUGACUUCCUCAAAUGGGAAACUUGAAUGCAUAAUUUGUGGUUGUGGAGAACUGAGUUCUUGCUCUCCC
RNAcentral lists this small nuclear RNA (157 nucleotides) under Meriones unguiculatus (Mongolian gerbil). RNAcentral's name for it is "U1 spliceosomal RNA (ENSMUGG00000008499.1)". It matches the Rfam family "U1 spliceosomal RNA". Rfam says of the family: U1 is a small nuclear RNA (snRNA) component of the spliceosome (involved in pre-mRNA splicing). Lineage: Eukaryota; Metazoa; Chordata; Mammalia; Rodentia; Muridae. The record is from RNAcentral.